CCCUUAGAUGUCCUGGGCUGCACGCGCGCUACACUGAUGUGUUCAAUAAGCACCUAACCUACUCCGAAGGGACUGGGUAACCUUUGCAAAGCACAUCGUGAUGGGGAUAGAUUAUUGCAAUUAUUAGUCUUGAACGAGGAAUUCCUAGUAAGCGCAAGUCAUCAGCUUGUGUUGAUUACGUCCCUGCCCUUUGUACACACCGCCCGUCGCCCCUACCGAUUGAGUGAUCCGGUGAAUACUUCGGAGUGUGAACUCUACAGUUUCUGUUUUGUUCGCGCAAAGUUGAAUAAACCUUAUCACUUAGAGGAAGGAGAAGUCGUAACA
Molecule: ribosomal RNA, 324 nt
Filed under: uncultured eukaryote
Lineage: Eukaryota
Description: partial 18S ribosomal RNA
Rfam family: Eukaryotic small subunit ribosomal RNA
Source: RNAcentral